AAUUAAACAGCCAGAAUAACAAAGGAGUGGCUUCGUAAAAAGCUGAAGGAAUUUGGCUUCCCAGCCAAGCCGCCGAAACAGCGACAGCCGAACCAGGAGGCGCAGCUCCAGCAAGUCGGCCAUAAGGCCAAACUCUUAACCCUUUGUACUGACUCCAUUUUGAACGGCUUAAAGAAAGCUCACCUGGAACAAGUUGAAAAUUUAUUCAUUGACAGUGAUCAAAAAGCAAGGCAAAAACAGACGGUGGAAAGGCACUGCUGGAUCCAGGGUCAGAAUAACAACGGAUACAUCAAAAUGUCCCCGAGAAGCGACAGUUGGUAGCUAAAUGUUCAGUCUUGGAAAGCUGCAGUGGAGUGGGCCGGGCGGAAGGCGUGCCUGGGUGUUGUCUUGGGAUCAUCCUUCUUUGGCAGGUUUGAGCGGUCAAGUUCGUGUAUCAUCUUUCAUGGCUGGGUCGUGGUUGCCACGGCAACUGUCGCAUGUCUUGACGUCUAAGGCGCCGAGCUAUCUACUUGUUAUCUCGGUAGGGCGAGGGUGUUCUGACCCCACCGAAGAGUCGCUGAUGUCUUCUCCUUACCUUAUCAGGCAAGGGCUGAUGAGCUGGUCCACUUUACUGUGUCAAAGGGCAUGGAGUACGUCUCCUUAAACUAUGGUUAAAUGCUUUACUAUAAUGAAUGUGUUAGACUAAUGCAAACAGUUAUACGGUGUCUGCGAGAAAUGUAACUAUCCCCUUCAAAGCACAGCAAGGUUCUGGAGGGGCCUAGCCAGUCUCCAGACCUAAACCCAAUAGAAAAUCUUUGGAGGAAGCUCAAACUCAAUUUUUCACUGACAGUCCAGAAACAUGAUUGAUCUAGAGAUCUGUGUGGAACAGUGGUGCAUUAUCCCUGCAGGAAACAUUUGACCUCUGUAAUUGUAAUCAAAGGCUACCUUACCAAAUAUUACCAAUGAUUUUCACAGGUGUUCAAAUACUUAUUUGCAGCAGUAUAAUACAAAUAAACUGAUGGAAAAAAUCGUACACUCUGAUUUCUGGAUUUUUAAAAAAAGAUUGUUUCUCACAGUGGACAAGCACCUACCUCGAAAAUUUCAAAUCACCCAUCAUUUUCAAGUGGGAGAAUUUGGAAAAUUACUGGGUGUUCAAAUAUUUAUUUUCCUCACUGUAACUAGACGUCUGCUUGGGAAGCUAAGCCUUCCUGUGUGGGUUUUCUUUGGUACUCCAGUUUUUGCACAAAUUCCCAAAAUAAGAGCGUUAGGUUGACUGAGGAUUCCAAUCACUGAAUGGUCUCUGUAACCGUUGUCAGCCAGAGUCAGCUGGUAUAGGCUCCAUCUCAUCUGUGACAUUUUGUAUGUUGUUCUUGUAGCUUGUACGUACAAUGGACUUCACCUGACAUGCCCGAAUAUAUUUAGGACGGGGAUAAGGUCAAACUCACCUGUCGCCAUUCCGAUCUGCAACACAGGUGAGACCAGGUGACUCACUGAGUCGGGCAUAUACCCUUUGCUGUCCUGUAACAAGAGAAAGGCCUUCCUCUGAGCCCUGAGUCCCUCCUCCUCCUCCUCCAUCGCCACCAGUCGUACUAGUGACGGCUGAUAACUCCGAACUUGCCUCUGACCCCUGACCAUUGUUCAGUCCGUUAAGAUUGAUACCAGCAAUGGUGCCGCCGAGCGAAGCUGGCGUAGCAGUGCUAAGAGAGUCGAUGCCCAUCUCUGAAUCAUCUUCUGGUUCGAUUGAGCCGCUCAGCGGGACACCCCCUCCGCUGGCCCGACUGGCCGGCCGCCCCAGACUUCCAAAGGGCAACCCGAGCAGACCCUCGGAGUCGUCGGCAUUACUACACUCCAGCGAGGAAUCCUCCACGGGCACCAGGGAGGGGGAGUUACCGCAGGGCCACACCUGCACGUCGGACAUCUCCAUGAGGGUGUCCUCCUCCGUGGUUGCAAUGGGCGCACAGUCCAGGCUGGAAACCUCCUGCCAGUACGGCUCAGCACCCAGAGGCGAGGGCAGGCUGUACUGCAUGGAGGCCGGGGACAGAAGCUCAUCAGGCGCCAGCCCAUAACCUGGAGCGACACACAGAGAAGCACACUGACACCCGGCCCCCCCGCCUCGCUCCCCACCAAUAGCACCGAGAGCCCGGGAGGGGAGAGAGUGCCCUGCCGGGAGGUGUAGAGGGGGCCGAAGGGGAAGGAAAUGGGAAAGGAGCGGGAAGGGAAUAUAGGAACAAGCCAAAACAAUCAGAGAGGGAAUUAAGGUGCAAAGUGCUUAAGAAAUAAGAGCAAGGACUUUUAGAAGGUGGGGGAGUGGGGGUCAAGUGCUGACAGGUGCGAGGAACGGGCAGUAGAAGCAGCAGCAGGCACAGAUGGACCAACAGAUUAGAAUAAGGCCCACUUGAGACUGAUGCUGCCCUGCGGGCUGCCACCUGCCGGGAGACCGCAGAAGUUGUAAGCCUCCAUAACUGGAGCUGGCUGGUCCAUCCAACAUGCUAUAAUCAACCCGCUCUCAUCCACACACACGCGAUAUCUUCGCACACUGCAUGCAUUCAACUCCACUCAAAGAUAACAGGCAGGUUAAUAUUGUAGUCAGGCUGGAGGACAUGCUUUCAGGCAGUCUCAUUCGCACACACGCAUAUCCUUUGUGGUCUCAAAACCAAGGGCGUAGGUUUGGUCUCAACAUUGGUAGGGACGAUAUAACAGCAUAAGAUGCAUGUACACUUUUUACUGGGGACGGGACAUUAAUAAGACCAAACAGAUUAUUGAACGAGUGUCAGGGCUACAUUCCUCACGAAUAUGAACCUAUUUAAUUGAUAGGCGAAAUAAUCUAUGCAAAAAUAAAUCUGUAUUGACUUCGACAGCAGCGGGGCUGGCCCUUCCCAACUCAAUGCUGACUGAACUGGAGUAUAUAAAAAUGCGUAGGGGAAAUUUAAACUAUGAAGAGUGAACUGCGUGGUACCCCAAGUCACAGAGGCGCACAAUCAGUUUCGUUUUCAUGACAUUUUCACCUGACAAAACUAUCGCCACUUCCAGGCGCGCCACUGUUAUGCAGUACACUGUUAUUUUCCAAGAGGUGAGUGUGUAACCGGGUCCGCGCCGCGUUCCGAUCCCCCUCGCUCAGGUCAGGACUCAAUCCCGCGCCGCACGACGCGUUCACACACGGCAGGCGGAGGUACUAACCACUAGGCCAUAAGCCGCCAGCGCACCCUCAUAACGGCAUCGGAUGGAAGGUUUUUCCACGCACCGCACACACGGACCUGCGUGUACCCGUUACACUCAUCCCCCGAAAACCUUCACUGCCGAUCCGGGUAACGGCACCAUUGUAACCGGGUCCGCGGGUUCCGAUCCCCCUCAUCCAGGUCAGGACUUGAAUCUGCGCCGCACGACGCGUCUACACGGCAGGCAAGGGCACUAACCGCUAGGCACCCACAUGAAGGCAUCGGAGGGAAGGUUUUUCCAUGCACCGCACACACGUACCUGCGUGUACCCGUUACAAGUGCGCAACUACCAUCGAUUGUAACAUCCCAAGUAACGAUGUCAGGCUUUCGUUGUUGUUUUCUAAAGAUUUAUUUCAGUCACAAUUCGGCGGCUGUUUGUAAAAGCCGAGUGUGCCCUCAGUCCCUUCAUUCUAGCUCCUGAGUGAUGAUUCAUUGUGUUCACGAAAAAAAAAACUGAUCACAAAACAGAGUUUGCGACCCCUGGUCUAGAAGGUGGAGUAAUUUUGAAAUUUCCCGCCGGCAAGUAACGGUUCAGAGGUAAACGGCGUGGACACAACACAUGAGGCUGCUCCUUUCUACGCAUGCGUAGUUUGCACAAAUGCAGCUGUACAUUGCAGAAGCCGGGGGGCCUUAAACGCACCUUAAUUCUAGUGCGGACAGGUAUAAAAACAGUUGGCAAAAUACCCCGGAGAAAAUUAUCUGUCCUAGUGUAGACGAAGUUGGUUCAUAGACUUCAUAAUUAUUGACGGGAUACGGGGCCAAUUAUUAGGGGGUCUGCACUGUUGGCGUGGCCGUCAAAGCUGACGGACUGAAAUCACAGACAAAGAGCUUUUUUUACAUAUAUAUUGCGAACUACUGUAUAAUGCUAGUCAGUAAGCAAAUGUAGCUGCUGCCAUAUGAAAACAAAGCUUUUUCCGUUGAAAAUUCUCGUGAAUAAAUGCUUAAAUCCCUGAAUUCUUCAUCGAUAUGGAUGUAAAUCAGCCUCGAUUCUUGGUUAAAAGCAGAAAAAUCGUGCAGUUAGCAUUUAUUUCACAUAAAUAUUGUGAACUAUGACGCUACCCAUAGCAAAAAUCUGCUACUCAUCUGUUGCUUAAUCUCGUCUUGUGAGACGAAUUUGAUCAUCUCAAAUUUAUCUCAUUCUCUGCUUAUUUGUUUCUGAGUUUGUGCUCCUAAGAGUACCCUUAGGAGCAAGUGAUGAGUCAAAUUGAGCAAAGACAUCAUUGAGACAAAGGAGGUUGAUUUGAGAAAGCCAGGUUUGAGCAAUAUUUGAGAAGAGAAAUUCUCUUAAUUAAAAAUGGAGUUAGACUUGUACAGCACCGUUCGGGCACUCAAAGCACUUUGACACUAUAAUCCUCAUCUACCUGCUGGUGACGCAACAACGUGGGGUUCAGUGUCUUGCUCAAGAAUACUUAGAUGAAUUCAUCAGGACAGAGAGUUGAACUCACAACCUCUGGGUUGGGGAACGACUUCUCUACCACUGAGCCACACACUGGCUCAGAUGCACUGAGCUCGAUGUGACGUGGCACAGAAAUGGAAAGCAACUUUAGAAACAGCGUGUAGCAGCGAUGAAGAAAAUUGAUUAUAUUUUUGUUCAUUUAACCCCUGGGUGUUAUUUGUCCAUUUUUUGGCUUUUUUCGUUUUUUUCUGUGUUUAAAAGGAAAAAAAGCAUAUGAAAAAAUACACUAGGGAGCUGAUAUUUCCUGCAGGAUACUAAAUCAUGUAGAAGUUCGAAAUGGCACCAUCCGGCAAUUUCUAACUUAUUGCAAACAGGCUGGGAAAAUUUGCACUAAACUCUUGUUAUUUUGCCAUUUUUUGGCUCAUUGACUCCCAUUAUAAAUCAUGAUUUUUAAUAUGCUGUAAACCUGAUGUUUUAUAAUGCAUUUUCCGUGAUUAUUGAUGCAAUCGCUUCUUUGGCGAGUCAAAAACAUGCAGAUAAAAAUUUUUUUGUGUUGACACCCAGAAGUCACUAGAUGAAGCCAUAGGCCAAUACAUGAAUUUGCUUGCGAAGCUAGCUUCAGAUCGGUCAAAAAUUAAUGCAAUAAAGACGGUUGGCUUUACCAAAAAAAUGGUGUCAAUGUUGUCUGAGCUCACUUUCAGUCUAUUUGGGCAUGCGUAUUUGCAAUUUUGCACGUUUGCACAAGACAAUAAAAAGGUACUUCCCGGAAAUGCAAAAAAACCAAAACAAAAAACCACGUGUUUAUUGUUGUCGUUUGAAUUUCAACUUUUAUUGGUCGGGUGUUUGAAUUUCUUUACUCUCAUUGGUUCUGGGCAUUUUGGGAGUCUCUGUUCUCGCGAGGAUCACCAUUUUGCAUUUCUUCCAACACAACUGUGAUCGAUGGCGGCGAGAAGUAUUUCACCGCAGGACACGAUUCGAAUGGUGUUAGAAAAUCCUGAUUCCGACGACGACGACCUUUGUUCGGACGCUUCUUUGGAGAGCCCAGAAGACAUUGAACAAAUUCUUCCGGACUUUCGAUGCCGGAGGAGGACGGCUUUGAUGACGAGGAUUAGGAAAUAGUUGACAACAUAACGAGAUGAAAGCGGGGAGCAGAAGGCGGGGGCACGGACAUGACCACGUUCAGGCGCAUGACGAAAAUGACGGCGAUCGAGGCCUGUGGCACAUACUCCUGCCGCCGGCGCGCACUCAGGUGGCCAAGUGUGAGUUUUUUCACAUGCCGGACAUUUCGUCAUGCAGCGCGUUUGUGCUGUUCACGGAGAUCUACCCUCGUUUGUGCUGUUCACGGAGAUCUACCCUGAGUGGAACGUGAAGAAAAGCUACAAGCGCCGACUAUUUCUUGAGGAACUUGGCAAGGCUCUAAUUCGGCCAGAAGUCCUAAAACGGGAACCACCGCCAUCUGCCGAAGGCUUGGUUGAGCAGCGAGCUGGACCCCCGUCCAAGCGCAAACAAUGUGGCCUUUGCACAAAGCCACUUCGGGCUUCGAACAUAAUAAUAAAUAAUAAUACAUUUUAUUUAUAACGCACUUUACAUUUGAACAACAAAUCUCAAAGUGCACAUCAUGAAUUGUGUAUGUUGUUAUUAUGUUAACUGUUAUAUUGUAUGUAUGUUUUGUAAAAUUGUUAACAUAAAUUCUAUCAUCAAAUCA
Corythoichthys intestinalis (scribbled pipefish) is the source of this 6295-nucleotide long non-coding RNA. RefSeq lists it as uncharacterized. The transcript is spliced from 2 exons. NCBI's taxonomy places the organism in Eukaryota, Metazoa, Chordata, Actinopteri, Syngnathiformes, Syngnathidae. The record is from RefSeq and is a predicted model, not a curated record.